RNAcentral lists this long non-coding RNA (4977 nucleotides) under Pongo abelii (Sumatran orangutan). RNAcentral's name for it is "lincRNA". The record is from RNAcentral. Lineage: Eukaryota; Metazoa; Chordata; Mammalia; Primates; Hominidae.
CUUUCUGCAGGACAAGUGUGCAGACUACAAAGCUUCGGAAAACCGGAGAGGCUGAGUCGACUAAUCGUGUUGUUGCACGUUAGAAACGCUUGCAUUGCCUGACUCUGAAACCAGAAGGGCGGCCGAAUGGCCUUCACCCUCCGUUAACCCUCGCCUGCUUCAGAAGCCAGUGCUUCUGGAAAUGCCUGGAUCUGCGACCCCUGCCUGAGCCUAGUAGGGCCCAAGGGAAGCUGAACGCCCCGACGGCUCUCAUGGGCACCGGCCACAGUUUUCCAUUUGUGCCUACUCCACCUGCUGUCUUUGCUGGGUCCGCGAACAUCGCCUCCCUCUACCGCUCAAUUAGCAAACGGGACCGCCUUUGAGGACCUCAUCCUCCGCUCACCCCGCUCCCAACUUCGCGGGCAUCGCCUCCGGUCGCCUCUUCUGAAGGCCUAACGAGCACGUUAGCUGCGAACGGAGGUGAGGAGGCUCCGCUGACUGACCGGUGCCCAUGUCCAGGGCACGCACAAACGCCAUGACUUGGCUUGGCCUCUCUCUUAGUUAUUCACAGCUCAGCCCGAUAGGCACCUCCGGGGUGGCGACGGCAAAGAGGGUGGGCUUAUUAAGUGCAGCUCCACGGGGACUGGCCUCUCUGCACGGCUGUGUACACCUGAGCGAGACGCUCAGUCGCUCUCUAAAGCCUCUUCUGCUGAUGACAGACACGGAGAUAAACGUGAGAGGUGGCCCACCACGACUUGCCCUCCUUCGCCCAGGUUUGCCCCUCGCUGCGGAGGCUGUUCUACAUCUGGCCCUUGGAGCAGGCCGGCUGACUGCGUAGUAAAGGAAGAUUUCUGCGGGAGGGCGGCCAGUGCAAAACAAUUCCCUGACUGGGAAUCGAACCGAAGCAACAGCGCUUUCAGCGCCGAAUCCUAGCCACUAGACCACCAGGCAGAUACGGAAGAGUGUUUUCUCUCCCUUCUUCGGUCUGAAGUGACAGUUUCCUGUGCUCUAGGAGGACUUGGGUCUUGUGAGGGUCGCUCUUUGCUCCUGGAGUCGUCUCACAAGGCCGUUACCUCCCUGCUUUCUUCAAAAAAAGAACCUGCAGGCGACACACCGAGGGCUCCGCGAGGGACACCAAGGCCACGAGUCCUGAGUCCUGGAGCGAGUUGCAGCCUCCCGGCCGCAGCUCACCACUGGCCUAGAGAUGCGCCUUUGCGAGGCGGCAGCAACUGACAAGAUGGUCGCGGGUCGCCAGGUCCGGAGCUGCGCACCAGGUUGCCAGGAGAAGGCGGGAGCGGGGAGGCGCCCGGGGUGAGACGGGGGCACCCUCUGCAUCAUAAAGGACCCAGACCCCGGCACCCUCAACAUCAUAAGGAAUCAGACGGAUGCGGAAAUCGAGACAGGCUAGAUGGGAAACUCUUUCCGGGAAGGCUCCGGGGCACUCAACUGGUCUCCAACCUUCCUCUGCAACCUGUGACACCUGCCAUUUUCCCAUUUUAGGCGAUGGCAACGCCACCCCUCCCUUUGCUCUGGGCAAAACUUCGAGAGUUCCCUCUGACGCUGGAGUUUUUUCCUCAGAUCCAAGAUCCAAUUGGUCACUAAUUCGUGAUUUCCGUCGGCCAAGUGCAUGGGCAUUGAUCUACACGCGAGUUUCUCCACCUCUGCGGAAUGGCUACUUCGGGGUGGGGUAGGUGCCCUCCCGUGGUGGAUUGCAAGGUGUUUAGCAGCAUCCGUCGCCUCCACUGACUAGAUACAUGCCAGGGGGAUAACAUUCUCCCUCCCGCUUCCCCCAGCCGCGGCCUAGUGUCCCAGCGGGGUUGGGAGAGGCAUGUGAGGGCGAAGUUGCCCCCUGUUGAGAACCAUUGCUGCGCGUAGUCCUGAUCUCUGAACUUGUGCAGAGGACUCUCCAGGUGAAGAAGGCUCAAGGGUGGAUCCAGCUCGAGACACCCUCGCUCCCCUUCACAGUCGGACCUUAGGAUUUAGGCUUUAACAUCUCCACAUCAUGAGAUUCGAAACCUUUAGGUCUUUUCUUCCGUUCUGUCCUCCAAAUCGGCCUCUUCCGAGCCUGUUGACCAGGGCCAGCCGGGCAGAGGGCUGAGCUCGCUCAACGAGGCUCCUCUCGCCCCUCCUGGAGCUUCAGGCCUCUUUCGGUUGCAGAAAAGCUUUACGGGCCAAUUCGUUCGGCAUCCCCGGCGGCAGGUGCGCGGUGCGCGGGGAAGAAGAGGAUUUGACUGCGGUUCUCGACCCCCGGCGCCCAACCUCCACCCCGGUGCGCUCGCUCUUCCAGGCUCCUGCUGGUCCCACUCGCCAGGAGUUAGGUCUCAGGUCAGCCUGAGCUGCCGAGAGGCCCAGGCCCGGAAGGACACAUAGGGGAAACCAUCUGCUCACUUCGGUCCUGUCCGGAAGGGAUCCCUUUCUGACGGGAAAGAAAGGCGGCGAGUCCUGUCCUGUUGAGUAGGCGGAAGAGAGAUCAAAGGGAAGACAAUAAAAAUCCUGUGAGGUUUCAGGAUCUAAAGUUACCAUGAAGUCGACCUAACCUCCUCUGGAGGUCCUCCCGGUCCUCCCGUGGCUGGCGAAGGUGAAUCUAGCUUCUGUCUCCAGUUCGCCAAGGCGGACAAAGCCGACGACAAUGGGCCUGUCCACUAUCUUCUUUCAUAUGCACAAAAUGUCAGCUCUUCUUGUUUCUAACUUGCAACAUCCCACCUGAUGACCAGCUCAGCAAAUUAGAGACCCUCCAUAGGAUUCCAUCUCUGUCUUAGUUCGAGCUUCUAUAACUAUGUACCAUAAACUGGGUGGCUAAUUCACAACAGAAAUUUAUUUCUCACAGUUCUGGAGGUUGGAAGUCCGAGAUAAAGGUGCCAACAUGGUAGGGUUAUGAUGAGGGACUUUUUUCUGGUUGUAGACUGCCACCUUCUCAUUGUAUCCUCAGGGGGCACAAAGAGGGCGAGAGAGCUCCCUGGGGUCCCUUUUAUAGGGGCAUUAGUCCCACUCAGACUAAUGGGACUAAAUCCAGACUCUGUGAACUUAAAAGUUAAAGAUAUAGAGUGUUUCAAGGAUACUCUGUAGGCAAAGAUUAGCCUACCAACAAGUAGGACACUGAAAAAAUGUAUAUAAAAGAAAGACAUGAUAGACUUCAUCAACGUUAGCCAUACCUUCUCAUCAAAAGAUACCACUAAGAAAGUGAAAAGGUAAGCAAGCCACAGACAGAGAGAAAAUAGUCACAAAACAUAUCUGACCUCCACACCCUGUAAUUAGAAUUAUUGUGGUCUGGUACACUGCACCCAGUUUCUGCAGGAGUAUUUUCUGGGUGUCUCUAAUGAGUAAGAGAGGGCUCCAUGGGAUAUUCCUACAGUUCCCAGAUGAACAGUGGGAAAGACUCUACAUUGACCAACACCGAGACCUGAAAACUCAGGUCCUCAAGGAGGGUAGAGGAUACCUGGACCCUGACCCAGACCCCUGGAUGGGCUGUGCCAAGAGACCCAGCAAGGGAAGGGAUUCCCUCCUGCCUCAGGUUCUCUGUUCUUCUGUGGUUAGAAGACCUGAACCCAACUCCCUCCCCAAGCACUGGAGAUGGGGCUUUUCCAAGGGCUGGGGAUCUUGCUGUACUAAGGACAGCUGAGCAAGGGGGUCGAGGAGGAGCUUGGGUGGUGGAGGAGAAGAAACCGGGUAAGAUGUGUGAAGCAGUCAGCUAUACCAGGCACAGAGAGGACCCACUGGGACCCAAAAGCCUGCAUGUGAAGCCAGGCCUUGGGCCACCUUGUUCCUCAAAGGGGUGCCUACUUCCAUGGGAUCUUCAAAGGGACUGUGGAAAGAGAGGCCUUCAGCCCACACCUCUGAGUGCUUUUCCACCACAGCAUGCCGUGGCCUGUGUCCUGCUGGUGUGGAACAGUCAGACCCCUGCAGGGCUGCAGAACCUCUGUACUGGGCAGCAUCCCAGCCUGAGUGCCAGAGCUCAGUGGGCAGGCCCCCGAGCAAGUAGAGAGGAGGGCACCUUUUGGACAGAACGUGUGGGACAAGAGCGAUGUCUCGUCCGUUCAGGUUCCUCACAAAAUGAGAGUCAGGAAGAUCAGGGCGCAGACCUGAUUUCCCACGCAGGGCUGAAAGCAGACAACCGGAGGGACAGCAGCACCUGAGCCAAUGAGAUAGAAGACAGAAAACCACAGUGUACUUCUGCCCUCAACCUAACCCCCUCCCACCCACAUCCUCCACGCCCCCUGACCACCUUCCUCAGAAACAUAAUAGGAAUAAAGAUUCCCCCUGGCCUGGUUGCUACAGGAGGCACAGUGGCCUGAUGGAGCCUGAGGCAGGUGUGGGAAGAUGUGGAUUGUCUAACUGGAGGUUGGGAGUCCAGGGUGCAGAAAGAGAAGCUUGGAGUGCAGGAUUUGGUGGUAUGUGUGUGGCAGUCGGCACUAUGUUCUAAUUGCCAGUUUUUUUUUCUUCUUCCUUUCUUUCUCUAGCUAAACAAGCACUGGCCUAGAGAUAAGCAAUGCUGAAGCACUUGCAGCUCACCUAUUACCAUAAACUGAAUGAGUCUUCCCUACACAAGCCAUAACUACCACUUUGAUUGGACAAGAGACUGAUUUCAGUAACUUUCUCUUUAUAAGAGACCACUGGCUGUGGACUGGUUCUGGACAGUUUACAGAGGCUAUGCACUUGAUUGCCUUUGUGUCCCUGCUUCACCUUUUGAAGCAUAGGACCUAAUUAUAAUGUAUUUAAAUGUUGUCUCCACCCCAAAGUGAACAUGGGUUGCAUGUAACAGGCGUGUUUACUCAGCAUGCAUGCAGCAGGAUCCCUUCACAAAUAUUCAGAGCUCCCCCUAUUCCCUGUUGAAUAUGUAUAUGUGGCCAACCAGAUCAACAUAAAUCACUAUUCGCCCUCCCCUCCCUGGAAACCUACUUUUCGGGUUUCAGCAGGAAGGUAUGCCUCCCAGUCUGUCAGAAUGACCACCUUGCAGGCUGUAACGCUUUACAAAAAAAUAAAAUCUCCUUUCUAAAUUUA